UACGUAGGGUGCGAGCGUUAAUCGGAAUUACUGGGCGUAAAGCGUGCGCAGGCGGUUCGUCGUGUCAGCUGUGAAAGCCCCGGGCUCAACCUGGGAAUUGCGGUUGAAACUGGCGAACUAGAAUCUGGCAGAGGGGGGUGGAAUUCCACGUGUAGCAGUGAAAUGCGUAGAGAUGUGGAGGAACACCGAUGGCGAAGGCAGCCCCCUGGGCUGAGAUUGACGCUCAGGCACGAAAGCGUGGGGAGCAAACAGG
RNAcentral lists this ribosomal RNA (253 nucleotides) under uncultured bacterium. RNAcentral's name for it is "partial 16S ribosomal RNA". It matches the Rfam family "Bacterial small subunit ribosomal RNA", at positions 524 to 776 of the family's 1533-position model. The record is from RNAcentral.